This 240-nucleotide unclassified non-coding RNA is filed under the name soil metagenome. RNAcentral's name for it is "partial contains 5.8S ribosomal RNA, internal transcribed spacer 2, and large subunit ribosomal RNA". The record is from RNAcentral.
AAGACUAUAGACCUGCGGAGUACCUGCGGAGGGAUCAUUAACACAAAUGAUAAACUUUUAUUAUUAUUUUUAGUUUAGUUGAAAGACUUGCUAAAAAUAAUAAUAUUACCACAAUGGAAAAUGUUAAAGUCUCUUAAUAAUAUUAUUAUUAAGAACUUUUCUUUUCAUAACAAAAAAACCAUUAAAACCAUUAGAUUCAUUUUAUUGAUUAUAUCAAUAAUAAUCCUAAAAAAAACACAA